Molecule: long non-coding RNA, 623 nt
Organism: Hypanus sabinus (Atlantic stingray)
Lineage: Eukaryota; Metazoa; Chordata; Chondrichthyes; Myliobatiformes; Dasyatidae
Exons: 3
Source: RefSeq, a predicted model, not a curated record
CUGUGAUUAGCAAGUUCGAGCUUGGCAAAUAAGGGCGCCCUGGCCCGAAGACAGUGAAUAUCUAUCACACCAACUUAUCAUCCCAGGAUUGUUCAGUAUCUUACAACAACAGAACAGAAAUGGUCCUUGGGCUUCGUAUGCUACCUGCUUCUCUGAGUUCCUCUGCAAGAUUACUUGUUGCUCCAGAUUCCAACACUUUGUCUUUUGUCUCCAUUCAACCAGAACACACAGGCACUUGGUUUGUGCCCCUUCCUGCCCUUACCCUAUAGGGUAGGUCACUGGAUGAACAGAUCCUGCAUCUUCUGAAAUAUUCCCGAAAACACCAGCCAUUGACACUAUCACAUUGAUGCAAUGAAGAAGAUGGCAUGCCAGUAGCUCUAUUUCAUUAUGACUCGAGGAAAUUUCAUAUGUUACCCAAGACUCUUGCCAAUUUCUAUACACUUAUGGUGGAGAACAUUCUGACUGGUUACACCACUGCCUGAUAUGGAAACUCCAACGCACAGGAUCGCAGAGGGUUGGAGCCUUCUCACGGGCACACCCCUCUUCACCACUGAAGACAUCUUGGUGCUUCAAGAAGGUGGCAGGAGAUACUGGUGCCUGAGGACACACACUCAACAAGGGUC